Long non-coding RNA from Erpetoichthys calabaricus (reedfish), 5984 nucleotides. RefSeq lists it as uncharacterized. The transcript is spliced from 6 exons. NCBI's taxonomy places the organism in Eukaryota, Metazoa, Chordata, Cladistia, Polypteriformes, Polypteridae. The record is from RefSeq and is a predicted model, not a curated record.
GCAAAUCACCUAGUGUUAAAUUUCUAGUGUUAGUGUUUAGAGUUGACUUCUGAGAGUUGCUUUUUCAUACCUUACACCAGACAGUGUUGAUUCAUUUACGAAUAAAGUGUUAUUUUGCAGUGUGAUUAAAAUACACUUUCACAGUGUGAUGUACACUUCCAGGAAGUAGUACUACGUUUGGUCUGCGCUGCUCACUGAAAUGGCGGCUUCUCCCACAUGUAUGGAAGAGGUAGUAUGUUGUUAGUGUGCUGAUUUGUGUUUUGAUAUUUUAAUUUAAAGUAAAUUUAUUGUAGUUAAUAUUUUAGUCAAAACUAUGUAUAUUUGUUAAUAUUGAGUUAAUACGUUUUCAUACAAAUGUCGCAUUGGAUGUUAUUUUAAAAGAUAUUUUUGAACGAAGAUGAUGUUUUUAGUAAAUGUUUAAAAAUAACAUAAAUUGUAUCAGUAAUAAUCAACAUUAUUAUUUUUCAAAGUGUGCAUAAUUGUAAAUUCUCUUAAUUAGUUUUACAAACGAAGAUGCCAUAUUGUGGCAAAACGCGCUUUUUGUCUUGGUCAUAGAUAAUUAUACUUCUGUGAAGACGAAUGUGACUGAUUUCUGAGACACGGUAACUGGACAUUUAGUAAGCAACAGAAUAAAAAAUUGUGGAGAUGCUCAUUAAAGUUCAGUACGGGAUACAAAAAAAAUAUGUUAAAGUUGGCAAGGAUGGAUUACACUACACUGAUUUUAUUAAAGAAGGUGAGUAAAAUGCAGACUCUUUUUGUAUUUAUUUUUAAUGCAUAACUGCUAUAUUGAAUUGACCGAGUUUUCAAAACAAGCGAAUGUAAAAGUUGUGAUUGUUUCUUUUACUUUAUAUCAUUAAGUGGUGAAAAAGUUCGGGCUCCCAGAAGAUCUAAUUUUGCAUGUUUGCGAUGACACUGGAACAGAAAUCGACGAGGAAGUGUUUGGCGAAAUAGUCAAGUUAAAGCCAGAAAUGUGUUACAUUGUGAAAGACGUCGGCACUGAAUUUCCUUUGGCACACUCAUCCCCCAGCUCCUGCACUGACACACUUUCAGUAUCUUCAGCAAGCGAACAGGACGCAGGCCCACCAGCAAAGAGGACGCAACUUUCACCUGAUAGAGCCACAGAUGCUAAAGAGGUAUAGCAACAUAUUCAUUUGAUUAAUAUGUGAUCAUAAUAUUUUAUAUGUUCAUUAUGUGGUUUCUCAUUGUAGAGUAGUAUCUGUAAGACCUUUACUUUUUGUCGAUACCCCUGACUUUUUUUUUAGCUUUGUUAAAAACAUUCUAAUGAAGAAACCUGGCGGAGAAAAAAUAAUGCAAGAAUACUGGGAAAAAAGAACGCUCAGUGACUGCACAAGGAGACAGCUCAUCAACAUGUUGGUUGCAUACAUGACAGAAGAACAGGGACGAAUUCCAGCAAAAGAAAUAAAGAGAAAAAUAUGCUUUAGGGAUUGUUACUCUUUUUCCUUCUCUUAAGGAUCUCUUUUCUACAAAAGGAUAUGUAAGUGACCAAAAUCUUUUUUUUUUUCUUACUGGCAUACAGUUUAUUAUUCUGUAAAAGUUUUAAGAGAUGACAUAUAUAAUAAUUUGUUUGCUUUUUAUUUUAUUUUUUAAGGAACAUUUUUAAGAUACAGAGAGUGAUACUGGUUACCUUGCAUGGCACCUAAAAACAGUGCAGCAUAAGACUUUGUUUCAAAGCAAGGAAGUAAAACAAAAUAAAAAUGGAGGUCUAAGUUCAGUGUGAGAAAUUCUUCAUCCAGAAGAACAGCUAACUGGAGACAGUUGCAGAGAAGCAGUAUCUUUCCUGACUCAUUGUUCCGAUAAAGUACUCAUUUAUUAGAAAAUGAGAAAAAAAUUUCAAUACCACCAGCAACUAGUGCAUAACCCAGAGAAAAUGACAUCUGCACUUUCCGUCUUUCCGAGAUUUUUGGAUACAAAAGGCUUGGUAAAUCAAGAUUUCAGUCUUUUAUUUGGCUCUGACACAUCUUCCAAAUUGCUUGAGAAGUGGGAUACCUGCUUUAAGUUUAAGAUUAUUAAAGAAGCAAGAUCUCUGACAGGUCAGAUGGCUGAUUUGAAUAUUCUGCUGAAGUGUGCAGAAUCUACCUUUGAUUUUGAAGAUCAUGAAUCAUCAGGGUUUAUUGGUUGGGAUGCAGACAUGGUCUCAAUUUUAUUAUUAGUCUAUCUUUUCUCACCACCGGCUGGAGGAAAAAAAGUGCCAAAAGUGGGGCAGUUGACCAUAUGGUACAGUUUCAUAAGUCAUGCUGCAGUAUUGAUGAACACCUCAGCCAAAAUGAAGGUCGCCAGCCUUACCUUCUGGCAGUAGGAACAACAAAGGCCAAGAUCCAUGACUUUUAUAUUGUCCUGGACAAACAGCUUAUACCAUGUCAGGCAAGAAGUUCUUUGGGAGCAUUCGAUGAGCUUUUUAAGGCUCAUUUUGUAUUCAGUAUUUCCUAUGAUAAGGCCUUAAUCAAUGUAUAUACAUUCUUGCAAACAACUGUUUACAACAUUGAUAUUGGACAUGUGAGGGAAUCACCAAGGGUUAAAGAAUUAAGAGCAAAAAUAUUGAAUAAUUAAACUUAUUGAUUGCUGUUCAUUCAUCAUAAUGACAAAUAUAUUAAAGUGUUUUUCAUGCUUGUUGUCAUAUGCAGAUAGCAAUGCAUUAAUUAGGCAUUUGAAAAUAGCACAUGGAUAUUACCCUGGUAAAAAGUUAAGACUUACUUGUGCUCAAGAAGGAUGCUCUCGGAUAUGUUACUCAUAUGCCAGAUUUAGAAAACAUUUCAAUGUCGCCCAUGUAAAUGAUACAAGACAAUAUGUUUACCCUGAAAUUACACACACAUUGAAUUCUUCUGAUGAAAACCAAUGUGUUUGCCCAGAAAUUACAUAUGUAUUUAAUUCUCCUGACAAGCAUGAUGCAAGCAAAAACACUGAUAUUUGUGUAACUGAGAUUCCCCCAACUUGUCGCAUUACAAAUAACCACCUUAAAGAAAUGUGUGCAUCCUUAAUAGCAAAGCUGCAAGCAACUGGUACCGCAAAUAGUAUUAUAUCAUCAGUAGUGGGGGAUAUGGAAGAAUUUGUUAAUGAAAUGCAAUUUAAAAUUAAGGAGGACAUUUUGGCUACACUUACAUCACAUAAUAUAAAUGUAUCAGAUAUAGAAUCAUCCAUUUGAAGUAUUGAUAACCCCUUCAGUAGUUUAAAUUCAGAAAGGAAACGAACAAGGUAUUUUACUAAAAAGUGGGGAGUAAUUGAACCCAUUGAAAUCUCUCUUGGAGUUAGGUAUGAUAGCAGACGAAAUCCAAGAACAGGUACUUAUGAUCAGGUUCCUGUAACUGAUAAAUUUAUAUAUGUUCCAAUUUUAGAGUCAAUAAGAUGUAUUUUUAAAAACCCUGACAUAUGCAGUAUGUUUCUUGAAAGCAGAAAAACAAAAGAUAACAUUUAUGCUGACUUCCAUGAUGGAAGCUACUUCAAGACCCAUCCAUUGUUCUCUGAAAAGAAAAAUGCUUUGCAAAUCCAGAUAUUCUAUGAUGAUUUUGAAACAGCAAAUCCUCUGGGUUCUAAACAUGGCAUACAAAAGAUUGGCCGCUUAUACUUUGUUCUCAGAAAUUUCCCACCAAGGUUUAAUUCAGCUUUAAUGAAUAUUCACUUGAUUUCACUUUUUCACUCCCAAGAUGUUAAAAUAUAUGGAUUUGAUCCUUUUUUGAAGCCAUUAGUUGAUGAUAUCAAAAUUCUUUAAAGUAGUGGAUUACAGCUUUCUUUCUCCCAGGAACCAAUGUUUGGGUCCAUAUCACAGGUCACCAGUGAUAAUUUAGGGAUGCACACAAUUCUUGGCUUUGUAGAGUGUUUCAGUGCCAGCUAUCACUGUCGUCUCUGCUUGACGGACAAGGACCGAUGCAAAACUUUGUUCAGUGAAGAUGAAAGUGAUGUCAUCUUAUGUGACAAAGAUUUGUACAGAUUGCAUCAAAAUGAGUUAAUGAGGGAUUCCAGGGUUAAAAUCGUUGUUUGGAUUGAAAAAGUUUUGCCUGCUUAACAGUUUACAGUAUUUUCAUGUGUGUGAUAAUUUUGCAUUAGAUAUAACAUUCUUGAAGGAGUAGGCCAAUAUGAAAUUAAAUUGCUUUUUUUGUAACUUACUGAAAACAUUAUUUCUACAGAUGAUCUGCAUUGUAGAGUUUACUCUUUUAAUUAUGGCUAUUUAGACAGGAGAAAUCGGCCCACAAGACUAAAUUUGGAAAAGACUGGUAAUAAUAUUGGCAUAAAUGCCAUUCAAACAUUUUGCCUUAUAAGAAACAUUCCACUUAUGUUUGGUGAUGUAGUCAGAGAGGGAAAUAAACACUGGCAUCUAUUGCUGCUCUUGUUGCAAAUUAUAAACAUUGUUUUUUCUCCUUGUAUUACUGAGGGUAUGGCCAUUCAUCUUAAACAUUUAAUAAUAGAACAUCAUAAGCAUUUCAAAGUGCUGUUUCCUGAAAAAACAUUACUUCCAAAACAUCAUAAUAUGAUACAUUAUCCCUCAUCCAUUCGAAAAAUUGGUCCGCUGUUACAUGUCUGGUGUACGAGAUGUGAAGCUAAGCACAGAUUUUUCAAAAACACUGUUAAGAAUUUUAAGAACCUAACCAAAUCACUUGCCAAAAAGCAUCAGAAGGCAAUUGUAUAUCGUUGGGAGUCUUCACCUCUGAAACAAAUUGAAUAUGGUCCUGUUAGGACAGUCUUACUCAGUGAAUUCUUAGACUGAAAAUUUAGCGCAGACAUUGCAAUGUAGUCUGCACAGUGAGGUUAACUGUGCAGAAUGGAUUAACUACUGUGGUGUUGAGUAUAAGGUAGGGGUGAUGGUCUGCAAUAAAAUUGAAGAUGACAUUCCUGUCUUUAGAAAAAUAUUGUAUAUAAUUCUUAAAGAUAAAAAGUUAUUUAAUUACAGUUGAAUUUGAUACAGUUUGCUUUGUUGAACAUCUUCACAGUUUUAGUGUGCAGGAAAGAGCUUUGAAAGAUAUCCAAGUAGUGGAAGUGGAACAUUUAAAAUACUACAAACCAUUCGACCUCCAGGCAACUUAUGGAGGUGAAGAUAAUUGUUUUUAUAUUGUGACAUCCUGUUGCUUAACUUGAACAGCUGUAUGUGUCCAGGAUCUUUGAAAAGAUACUGAGGAUUUCUAAAUGAAGUAGCUGCUUAAAAACAGAACAUAUAUUUCUAAAUUUACUUGCAGAAUAUUUACAUUUUCCUAGCACUUUUUAAUAUUAACAUUUUUUGUAACUAUGCAAGAAAUGAAAUGACAGUGUUAGACUUUAAGGCUGUUCACUGUUCGUGAAGCAAUGCAGUUAAAGUAAGUGAUCAGUACAUGGGGGCGAGAGAGAGUAAUGAACAAGACCAUCAGGCCCCAUUAAACUUUUUCAGGAAAAAAAUGUUCUGGCUUUUAUUCAAUAUUGGUUUCUAGACAUUUAUUAGGCCGUACCACAUGACUGAGAGAAGACUGAGUAAUUAGGCCAAGAUGUCUCAGCAGUAUCAUUUCUUUUAUAAAUAUAAAUACAUUAUAACAACAGUAAAUGAUCCUGUGCAUACUGAAGCAACAUAGUUGUGCUACAUAUUUGUAUAAAGUUUUGGAAUACCUGAUAUAAUUUAGAAAUUACCUUGUAUAAUGUCUACAUUAUUGUCAAUCGUUGGUCUAUGUUCUAUAUAGAAAUUGUUAGUUUGUUCAUGAUCUGACAUUUCAGAGUUAAUUUCUGCAUGUUAAAAAUACAUUGUUUGGUUUAAUAUUACUGUACAUAAUAAUUGGGAUAGUUAAUUUUUUUUGAGGAAAUAAUAAGGCAUAUUGAUGGUUGUUCAUGUGUAACUUAUGUCUUUAGUUAAUGUUUCAAAUAAGAUAAGAGUGAUGGUGUGAAUAAAAACUGUUAUGGUGUAGGCCUUGUUUUUUUUACUCUUUCAGUAGUUACUGUGAAAACCAUUAUUCUAUGCACCAGCAAAUUAGACAAAGCUAGUAAAAGCAUAACUGUUUUGAUACAAGUAAAAA